UACGUAGGGUGCAAGCGUUAAUCGGAAUUACUGGGCGUAAAGCGUGCGCAGGCGGCUUUGCAAGACAGAUGCGAAAUCCCCGGGCUCAACCUGGGAACUGCAUUUGUGACUGCAAGGCUAGAGUACGGCAGAGGGGGAUGGAAUUCCGUGUGUAGCAGUGAAAUGCGUAGAUAUGCGGAGGAACACCAAUGGCGAAGGCAAUCCCCUGGGCCUGUACUGACGCUCAUGCACGAAAGCGUGGGGAGCAAACAGG
This 253-nucleotide ribosomal RNA is filed under the name uncultured bacterium. RNAcentral's name for it is "partial 16S ribosomal RNA". It matches the Rfam family "Bacterial small subunit ribosomal RNA", at positions 524 to 776 of the family's 1533-position model. The record is from RNAcentral.